Molecule: ribosomal RNA, 1481 nt
Filed under: marine metagenome
Description: bacterial SSU rRNA
Rfam family: Bacterial small subunit ribosomal RNA
Source: RNAcentral
AGAGUUUGAUCCUGGCUCAGGAUGAACGCUGGCGGCGUGGAUAAGGCAUGCAAGUCGAAUGCACUUCGGGUGCAUGGCGAACCGGGUAGUAAUGCAUAGGAACAUUCCCUAUUCUUAAGAAUAACCCAGAGAAAUCUGGACUAAUACUUAAUAGCUCCCAUUUAGUUGGGUAAAGAUUUCAAGCUUGCUUGAAGUCGGAAUAGGAUUGGCCUGUGUGGUAUCAGCUUGUUGGUAAGGUAAUGGCUUACCAAGGCUAUGACGCCUAGGGGGUGUGAGAGCAUGACCCCCACCAUUGGGACUGAGACACUGCCCAAACUCCUACGGGAGGCUGCAGUCGAGAAUCUUGCGCAAUGCGCGAAAGCGUGACGCAGCGACGCCGCGUGUUUGAAUAAGCCCUUCGGGGUGUAAAGAACUUUUCUUAGGGAACAAGUGUUUUGUUUUACAAAACACUGAGCUAACCUAAGGAAUAAAGGGCUGCUAAACUCGUGCCAGCAGCAGCGGUAAUACGAGUGCCCUAAGCGUUAUCCGGAAUUAUUGGGCGUAAAGCGUCUGUAGGCGGCAGGAUAAGUUUUCUGUUAAAUUCCAAUGCUCAACAUUGGGUUCGCAGAAAAUACUAUUCUACUAGAGCUUGCGAGAGGCUAGUGGAACUCAUGGAGAAGGAGUGAAAUCCGUUGAUACUAUGGGGAACACCAAAGGCGAAGGCAACUAGCUGGAGCAAAGCUGACGCUGAGAGACGAAAGCCAGGGGAGUGAAGCGGAUUAGAUACCCGCGUAAUCCUGUGCUGUAAACGAUGGAUACUAGCUAUUUGGAGUAUCGACCCUCUAAGUGGCGAAGCUAACGCGUUAAGUAUCCCGCCUGGGAAGUACGGCCGCAAGGCUAAAACUCAAAGGAAUAGACGGGGACCUGCACAAGCGGUGGAGCGUCUGGUUUAAUUCGACAUUAAGCGAGGAACCUUACCGAGGUUUGACAUCCUCUGACAUCCCUGGGAAACCAGGGUUUCCUUUCAGGACAGAGUGACAGGUGCUGCAUGGUUGUCGUCAGUUCGUGUCGCAAGAUGUACCCUUAAGUGGGGUAACGAACGCAACCCUUAUCGCGUGUUACAAGUGUCACGCGAGACUGCCAGCCUAUGGCUGGAGGAAGUGGGGAUGACGUCAAAUCAGCAUGGCCCUUUUACACCUCGGGCGACACAGGCGCUACAAUGGCCAAGACAAAGGGUUGCCAACCUGCAAAGGGGAGCUAAUCCCUAAACUUGGUCUUAGUUCGGAUUGGGGUCUGCAAUUCGACCCCAUGAAGUCGGAAUCGCUAGUAAUCGUGGAUCAGCCACGCCACGGUGAAUACGUUCUCAGGUCUUGUACUCACCGCCCGUCAAGUCAGGAAAGCUGGUAAUGCCGGAAGUUCUUAUCUUUAUUGAUAAGACCCAUGGCAGGAUCAGUGAUCAGGACUAAGUCGUAACAAGGCAUGCGUAGCGGAAGCUGUGCAUG